AAGUGGCUGGAGAGAAUGACUUUGGCGCCGUUUUGGAUGAGAUGUUUGAUGGUGGGAAUGGCGGCGCGGAUUCUGGUGUCGUCGGUGAUGUUCUGGUUGUCGUCGAGCGGGACGUUGAGGUCGGCCCUGACGAAGACCUUCUUCCCCUUCAGGUCCGCCGCGCUCAGGUCCCCCACGCUCUUCUUCGCCAUCGACACCACCCCCCUCGCGCCCUUUCCUCCUCCUCUCACCGCCGCCACGCGCGCCGCUACACUCGCCGCGAGCAGCGGGUCCGCCGCGGCGAAGCCCAGGCGGCGCAGCGGGCGGGCGCGGAGGGAGGAGGUGAGCUGCACGCGCGAGGGGGAGGGGGAGGCGGAGGUGGCGGUGGAGGAGGAGGAAGGGGUGGCGGAGUGGAGGAGAGAGAAAGUGGUGGGGGAUGCGGCUGAGGCCAUUGUAGAGAGAGAAAGAGAGAGUGUUUGAGUUUGAGUGUGUUUGGGAAUUUAACG
RNAcentral lists this long non-coding RNA (485 nucleotides) under Glycine max (soybean). RNAcentral describes it as "long non-coding RNA (GMAX_LNC001729)". Lineage: Eukaryota; Viridiplantae; Streptophyta; Magnoliopsida; Fabales; Fabaceae. The record is from RNAcentral.